CAGGGCUUGCACUUCUGCAGGCUCCGGUCCUCCUUGAAGCGACUGCUCCGGCAGGGCACGCACCGGGCAUCCUCUCCAUAACCAAAGCCACAUUCCUGUGGGGAUUAAAGGGAGAAAUACACCGGUUUGGGUGAGACUGCCAAGCAUAACAGCAGUGUGGAGGGGAGAGGAGCAGCAAGAGAGGGGAGAGCUGGCUGGGACCUGAAGCAUGUUCAGACGCAGAGAUAUUUCUGAGAUUAGGAGGGAAUCACAAGGGGGGCGGCCAGUCAUCUGAUCUGGUAAUGAAACGACGCUGAAAACAAUGCAUGUUAGUUAAAGCAGUGUUCUGUCUGGGACAAAAUGUACGUACUCCUUUUGUUUUCCUCUUCAUUACACUUUUUAAAGCUUUUUUUUUUACUGCCUCACUUCUUCAAACACAAGAAUGGUGCAGCUAAUGUCAGGCUGCUCAGAUUUUGACCACUCUGUUGCUUAUGCAUUCCUUUGUUUCUCUCUUUAGCCAGUACCAUCCAGAAGUCCUUUGCCCUGGGAGUGUGGCUGAAGGAAAUGUUACACUCUUGCUACAUACUACAAGAUGUUGACACAUCAAAGUUGUGUUCCUGCCUUUUUUUUUUUGCCACUGGCAGUUUUCCAGCGUGCACUGGAAAGCAAUUCACCCCUUCCCCUUCAUGCUUGACACAACACAAGAGACGAAGCAACUCGCAAUGAAUGAAACCAAGAAUGAAAUAUGUCCGACAAAGAAUAACUGGUUUUAAUGGACGUCCCCUCUGUGUGGGUGGUUCUUUUAGCUACAGUUAGUGUGAAGGGGCUAAUUGAUGUUUGUCAGCUCGCCUAAGAGCGGCUUCCAGAGGCAAACUUCCAGAGCAAACUGGGGCACAUUCCUCUGGGAUCUCUAUGGCAGCUGCACAGAGUGACUCCAAAAGUCUGCUUCCCUCCCAACAGUCAGCCCUGCCUUUCAGAAUAUGGACAGAUUGUCUUGGUUACGCGGAGCUCAGAUCAGAAGUAGUUUCUCUGGGAAACUUUCUCUGAGUGCAGGCCCAGGUCGCCACUGUGAGCCGGCAUCCCGCUACCUUCAGAGAAAGAAUGAGGCAGCCAAUUAUUAACCAGGACCCCAGGGUGGCUAGCAGCAUUCAAGCCUGUUGAGCUGGCAGAGGAACACGAGGACUACUGAAGCGUAUUACCAACCACAGAGUGCAUGUCUGUGUGCACUGAGAUUAAAGGCAACUUGGCUUAAAUGCAUGUGUGCAACAGAUGUCAAGGGUGAUACAGAGCUUUUUUUCUCGAGUGCUCACAGAAGUAGUGGAGUGUUAACUCGCCUAAAGUCAGUCUAUCAGCCUUUUUAUUAAUGGAAUACUUAAAACAACACAUACCUUAAGUUAUGACGACAAAAAUCUCCUUUUGGAACCAUUUAAUUUAAUUUACAGUGCUAUCUUUUUUUCUUAAGGCCCAUCAGUAUCUCUCGACUAAAUUGUUUAUAUAGUCGUGGCAGAUAUAAUCUCAUAUGAAUUCACUUGCUUGUUUAUUAGGUACACCUGGCUCGUCUAACAGCCCUGCAAUAAAUCCUGAAUGAAGGUUAUAAUGUUCA
This is a non-coding RNA of Epinephelus lanceolatus (giant grouper), 1582 nucleotides long. The record is from RefSeq and is a predicted model, not a curated record. NCBI's taxonomy places the organism in Eukaryota, Metazoa, Chordata, Actinopteri, Perciformes, Serranidae.